UGACUAGCUGGACCGUGGUAGUAGCGAGGAACGUGACAUUUCCGAGUUACCUUUGUAUCCCAUAUCUUAUUAGCAGGACGGGUAGGUUUAUAGGUGCGGGUCGAACAUCCUCUGUGUUGUCUAGAUUCCGUGAGCCUCCCCAAUAGAACAGUAGAUCAUCCUUACCAAAGUUAGAAUGAGACUACGGUUGCAGUCUUCUCUAUACAUCACUCACAUCGAGAAACAUUCUUUGUAGCCUAAAGGGAUAGUAGCAAUAGAUUUGGUUAGUCAGAUGCACCCUUUCUCCCAGUGGUAAAAAUAUAAAUACGAUACUCUGGAAAACCUCCCGGGUGAAAUGCUCACCGAUAUCCGUGUGCUUGCGGAUCAUUUCCUGAUUGCGUUACCAAAUAUCAACAAUCCCCAGCGGGAUGGAGACAGGUCUUGCAGAAACCGUCAUAGAAGAUGUCAUCUGCAAUAGGUGGGAAUAAACCCUGAGUACGAUAAUGUACUCAGCUAGACUUACCCGUCUAGAAAAACAUAAAAGACACCAAGGAUCAUGCAAGGCUAAGAUAUAAAAGUAGAGCUAGUUGACUCGACAUUUUUGCCAAAAGCCUUUAUUAAGACUAACACAAUGUAAGAGCAUCAUAUUUAUUUAUCAUCAGCCU
Molecule: long non-coding RNA, 644 nt
Filed under: Sorghum bicolor (sorghum)
Lineage: Eukaryota; Viridiplantae; Streptophyta; Magnoliopsida; Poales; Poaceae
Description: long non-coding RNA (SBIC_LNC012540)
Source: RNAcentral